RNAcentral lists this ribosomal RNA (687 nucleotides) under Triticum aestivum (bread wheat). RNAcentral's name for it is "partial small subunit ribosomal RNA". Lineage: Eukaryota; Viridiplantae; Streptophyta; Magnoliopsida; Poales; Poaceae. The record is from RNAcentral.
AUGAGCAGCAGGAGCACACUACAGAUGUUGAUUGAUAAAACUUGCUGGAAAGACAAGAAUCUGCCAAAGUCAAAGAAAAAUGAUGAAGCGGAGUCUCAGGGCAGCAUUGACAUGUUCAAGUUGUGCAACAAGAAGCCAGCUUUGCCAACCACCUUCCCUGUGCCAGAUUUCCAUGAGCGAGAGUUGUGUGACAAGAUUGAUUUUGCUGUUGACCAGAAUAUGUUCUUCUUGAGUGAGGCUGAAAAGAAUCCAGUUGACAUGGAGGAAGUAGGGAAGGGUCUUGAUUGGGUUCAUUCGAAGGAGAAAUACAUGGAAUAUUUGAAGCAGCUUCCAGAUAUCAGCUCCAGCAAGAGCAAGGCAACAUCUGUGGCAAACCCUCAUGUGGUCCAGAAGAGCAAAGGAGUUACAAUGAAGAAGAAUCUGAAGUUUCCUCAAACCAAGAAACAGAUGCCGAGGGCAGAUGCAGAAAUAAAUGUGGACAAGGAAGCUGUGGCGCAAACUGUUGUUCCAACUGUAGUGAUCAGAGAGCCAACCACCACUGAAGAUGUGUCAGCAAUACCUGUUGAGCCUACAACCAUCAUAGGAGUUCAACAGAACAAGGGGAAGAUCCACCUGUCAAUAGCCCCACCUAAACCAGCUAAGCAGCAAAAGAUUGUCAAGUUUGCCAAGGGCACAAAGGAGGAAUGA